RNAcentral lists this ribosomal RNA (605 nucleotides) under Haererehalobacter sp. SM2. RNAcentral's name for it is "bacterial SSU rRNA". It matches the Rfam family "Bacterial small subunit ribosomal RNA", at positions 26 to 618 of the family's 1533-position model. Lineage: Bacteria; Pseudomonadati; Pseudomonadota; Gammaproteobacteria. The record is from RNAcentral.
GGAGGGAGGGGGGGGGGGGGGUCGGAGAAACAUGCAAGUCGAGCGGCAGCACGGGGAGCUUGCUCCCUGGUGGCGAGCGGCGGACGGGUGAGUAAUGCAUAGGAAUCUGCCCGGUAGUGGGGGAUAACGUGGGGAAACCCACGCUAAUACCGCAUACGUCCUACGGGAGAAAGCGGAGGCUCUUCGGACUUCGCGCUAUCGGAUGAGCCUAUGUCGGAUUAGCUGGUUGGUAAGGUAACGGCUUACCAAGGCGACGAUCCGUAGCUGGUCUGAGAGGAUGAUCAGCCACACUGGGACUGAGACACGGCCCAGACUCCUACGGGAGGCAGCAGUGGGGAAUAUUGGACAAUGGGCGAAAGCCUGAUCCAGCCAUGCCGCGUGUGUGAAGAAGGCUUUCGGGUUGUAAAGCACUUUCAGCGAGGAAGAAAGCCUUUGGGUUAAUACCCCAGAGGAAGGACAUCACUCGCAGAAGAAGCACCGGCUAACUCCGUGCCAGCAGCCGCGGUAAUACGGAGGGUGCGAGCGUUAAUCGGAAUUACUGGGGCGUAAAGCGCGCGUAGGUGGCUUGGCACGCCGGUUGUGAAAGCCCCGGGUCUCAACCUGGU